Molecule: ribosomal RNA, 894 nt
Filed under: Oxneriaria permutata
Lineage: Eukaryota; Fungi; Ascomycota; Lecanoromycetes; Pertusariales; Megasporaceae
Description: partial small subunit ribosomal RNA
Rfam family: Bacterial small subunit ribosomal RNA
Source: RNAcentral
CUUGGAGGAUGNAUAGCGAAAGCUUAUUGUAUUAACUUCGACUAAUUCGAAGUUUAUGCAGCAUCGACUAUGUCGAAUAAAGUUCUAGGUAGAGUUAUGAUAAUGACAUUUUCUAUCUAUGUGUCUUGACCAAGUCACGUGCCAGCAGUCGCGGUAAUACGUGGAAGACUAGUGUUAUUCAUCUUUAAUAGGUUUAAAGGGUACUUAGACGGUAAAUUUAGCCCAAAUGAAAACAAAGGGUACUAAUUAUACUAGAGUUUUAUGGGAGGAGGGUGUGUACUAAUGGUGUAGAGAUGAAAUUCUGUCAUACCAUUAUGACAGGCAACGGCGAAAGCAACCUUUUAUGUAAAAACUGACGUUAAAGGACGAAGGCUUUGCGUCACCAACAGGAUUAGAUACCCAAGCAGUCUUAGCAGACAAUUAUGAAUGCCAUAGAUAAGAAAAUAUACCUUGUUUAUAUUUUAAAAAAAAGAAAAAACAAUAAGGAACAAGAUGAUUGCUUUUUCCUAAAAAAAAAAAAGUAUUCUAUUUUUUCUCUAAAAAAAGUAUUUUUUUACUUUUUUUCUAGGAAAAGAUGUUCUUUUGUCUAUAAAUGAAAGUGUAAGCAUUCCACCUCAAGAGUAAUGCGGCAACGCAUAAACUGAAAUCAUUAGACCGUUUCUGAAACCAGUAGUGAAGUAUGUUGUUUAAUUUGAUGGUCCGCAAAAAACCUUACCACAAUUUGUAUAUUAUUAGCUUAAUACAAGAGUUGCACGGCUGUCUUCAGUUAAUAUCGUGAGAUUUUGGUUAGUUCCAUAAAUUAACGUAAACCCUUACUUUAUUUAUGUUAUAAAGUAGUUCACCGCUAUAUUGGAUAUGAUAAAAGGGACUAAGACAAGUCAUCAUGGCCUGAAU